This is a long non-coding RNA of Hyaena hyaena (striped hyena), 519 nucleotides long. RefSeq lists it as uncharacterized. The record is from RefSeq and is a predicted model, not a curated record. The transcript is spliced from 3 exons. NCBI's taxonomy places the organism in Eukaryota, Metazoa, Chordata, Mammalia, Carnivora, Hyaenidae.
CCUGCAGAGAAACGGGCCUGUCGGCUCUCGGGAACCCCAUUCCAAAGGAACGAUCCAGGCCCGGGGCUUCUGGAAGGACCCAAGCUCCAGGCCUAGGGUUUUUCCUACCAGUCCCAUCCCCAACAUACAUCUCCCUGGAAAUGAGAGCAAGCAAAGCGUAUGUACUUGGACGGAGACAGAGGCCUGAGUAUGUCUUGGGAAGAGGAGAGGAGACAGCCAGGCAAGCAGGCAGGAGCUUGGAGAUGUCAGAACACAACAGCACCACAGGAUGUUGGAAAGAGGGCCAGCAGAGAGACAAACAAGGCAUCCCCACCCACCGGGGACAGCCAGGCCAGCUGAGCAGGACGGGGCAAGAGGCACCCCAGGCACAGCCAGAGCUGCUCACCGGAACCUGAAACUAUCCAGUUCUGGAGAGGCCCCUCUGAGCUACCUAGUCAGCCUAGGGCAGAGGAAAGAAAGUAUACUCUGGAGCUGACACAGCCAGCUUUGAACCCCAGCUCUGCCACUCCUGGGCUGGAC